Molecule: non-coding RNA, 21 nt
Filed under: Arabidopsis thaliana (thale cress)
Lineage: Eukaryota; Viridiplantae; Streptophyta; Magnoliopsida; Brassicales; Brassicaceae
Source: RNAcentral
ACAGGAAGAGGAGCUGCACCC